GUAGGGAAUAUUGGACAAUGGGGGCAACCCUGAUCCAGCGACGCCGCGUGAGUGAUGAAGGCCUUCGGGUCGUAAAGCUCUGUUGCAGGGGAAGAACACAAUGACGGUACCCUGCUAGAAAGGAUCGGCUAACUUCGUGCCAGCAGCCGCGGUAAGACGAGGGAUCCUAGCGUUGUUCGGAAUUAUUGGGCGUAAAGCGGGUGCAGGUGGCUUGGUAAGUCAGAUGAGAAAGCCUGGGGCUUAACCCCAGAAGUGCAUUUGAUACUGCUGAGCUUGAGUGCUGGAGAGGCUAUUAGAAUUCCUGGUGUAGUGGUGAAAUACGUAGAUAUCAGGAGGAAUACCGGAGGCGAAGGCGGAUAGCUGGCCAGACACUGACACUCAGACCCGAAAGCGUGGGGAUCAAACAGGAUUAGAUACCCUGGUAGUCC
This 428-nucleotide ribosomal RNA is filed under the name uncultured bacterium. Its description in RNAcentral is "partial 16S ribosomal RNA". It matches the Rfam family "Bacterial small subunit ribosomal RNA", at positions 354 to 796 of the family's 1533-position model. The record is from RNAcentral.